GAGUUGAUAGCUCAGCUGGUAGAGCACGCGGCUUUUAACUGCUUGGUCCUGGGUUCGAAUCCCAGUCAACUCA
This 73-nucleotide transfer RNA is filed under the name Monomorphina aenigmatica. RNAcentral describes it as "tRNA-Lys". It matches the Rfam family "tRNA". Rfam says of the family: Transfer RNA (tRNA) molecules are approximately 80 nucleotides in length. Their secondary structure includes four short double-helical elements and three loops (D, anti-codon, and T loops). Lineage: Eukaryota; Euglenozoa; Euglenophyceae; Euglenales; Euglenaceae. The record is from RNAcentral.